This 76-nucleotide transfer RNA is filed under the name bacterium. RNAcentral describes it as "tRNA-Met". It matches the Rfam family "tRNA". From Rfam's summary of the family: Transfer RNA (tRNA) molecules are approximately 80 nucleotides in length. The record is from RNAcentral.
CGCGGAGUAGAGCAGUGGUUAGCUCGGGAGUCUCAUAAUCUCCAGGUCGUGGGUUCGAAUCCCACCUCCGCUACCA